RNAcentral lists this ribosomal RNA (521 nucleotides) under uncultured Bacteroidota bacterium. RNAcentral describes it as "bacterial SSU rRNA". It matches the Rfam family "Bacterial small subunit ribosomal RNA", at positions 8 to 524 of the family's 1533-position model. The record is from RNAcentral. Lineage: Bacteria; Pseudomonadati; Bacteroidota.
AGAGUUUGAUCCUGGCUCAGGAUGAACGCUAGCGGCAGGCUUAACACAUGCAAGUCGAGGGGUAACAGGGAAGCUUGCUUCCGCUGACGACCGGCGCACGGGUGCGUAACGCGUAUAGAACCUACCUUUUACAGAGGGAUAGCCUUUAGAAAUGAAGAUUAAUACCUCAUAGUACUAUAGAUUCGCAUGAAUUUAUACUUAAAGAUUUAUCGGUAAAAGAUGGCUAUGCGUCCUAUUAGCUAGAUGGUAAGGUAACGGCUUACCAUGGCAACGAUAGGUAGGGGUCCUGAGAGGGAGAUCCCCCACACUGGUACUGAGACACGGACCAGACUCCUACGGGAGGCAGCAGUGAGGAAUAUUGGGCAAUGGAGGCAACUCUGACCCAGCCAUGCCGCGUGCAGGAAGACGGCCCUAUGGGUUGUAAACUGCUUUUAUACAGGAAGAAACCCUCGUACGAGUACGAGCUUGACGGUACUGUAAGAAUAAGGACCGGCUAACUCCGUGCCAGCAGCCGCGGUAAU